This 495-nucleotide ribosomal RNA is filed under the name uncultured bacterium. RNAcentral's name for it is "partial 16S ribosomal RNA". It matches the Rfam family "Bacterial small subunit ribosomal RNA", at positions 28 to 507 of the family's 1533-position model. The record is from RNAcentral.
GACGAACGCUGGCGGCGUGCCUAAUACAUGCAAGUAGAACGCUGAAGGAGGAGCUUGCUUCUCUGGAUGAGUUGCGAACGGGUGAGUAACGCGUAGGGAACCUGCCUGGUAGCGGGGGAUAACUAUUGGAAACGAUAGCUAAUACCGCAUAAGAGUAGAUGUUGCAUGACAUUUACUAAAAAGGUGCAAUUGUAUCACUACCAGUUGGUCCUGCGUUGUAUUAGCUAGUUGGUGGGGUAACGGCUCACCAAGGCGACGAUACAUAGCCGACCUGGGAGGGGGGUCGGCCCCCCCGGGACUGGGACACGGCCCCGACUCCUACGGGAGGCAGCAGUAGGGAAUCUUCGGCAAUGGACGGAAGUCUGACCGGGCAACGCCGCGUGAGUGAAGAAGGUUUUCGGAUCGUAAAGCUCUGUUGUAAGAGAAGAACGAGUGUGAGAGUGGAAAGUGCACACUGUGACGGUAUCUUACCAGAAAGGGACGGCUAACUACGUG